Molecule: ribosomal RNA, 510 nt
Filed under: Cyrtonus contractus
Lineage: Eukaryota; Metazoa; Arthropoda; Insecta; Coleoptera; Chrysomelidae
Description: partial 16S ribosomal RNA
Source: RNAcentral
UGUAAAAUUCUAAGGGUCGAACAGACCCAAUAUUUUAGCUCCUACACCAAAAAUUCAUUUUAAUCCAACAUCGAGGUCGCAAUCUUUUCUUUUAAUAUGAACUUUCUAAAAAAAUUACGCUGUUAUCCCUAAGGUAAUUUUAUCUUUUAAUCAAAAUUAUUGGAUCAAUUAUUCAUAAAUUAACGGUGUAAAUAAAAAAAAGUUAAUUAAAUUUUUCAAUCACCCCAACUAAAUUAUAUUUUUAAAAUAAUAAGUAAAUACUUAAAUAAUAUUAAAAAAAAAAUAAUAAAACUCUAUAGGGUCUUCUCGUCUUUUAACAAUAAUUAAGCUUUUUAACUUAAAAAUAAAAUUCUAUUUAAAUUUAAUAGAGACAGCUAUUUUUUUAUUCAACCCUUCAUUCCAGCUCUUAAUUAAAAAACUAAUGAUUAUGCUACCUUAGCACGGUCAAUAUACCACGGCCAUUUAAAAUUUCAGUGGGCAGGUCAGACCUUAAAUUAUAAACAAAAGGAC